AAAAAAGGUAAGCUACUAAGAGCGAAUGGUGGAUGCCUUGACUGGUAAAGGCGAUGAAGGACGUACUAGACUGCGAUAAGCUACGGGGAGCUGUCAAGAAGCUUUGAUCCGUAGAUUUCCGAAUGGGGCAACCCAAUGUAUAGAGAUAUACAUUACCUAUAUAGGAGCGAACGAGGGGAAUUGAAACAUCUUAGUACCCUCAGGAAAAGAAAUCAAUAGAGAUUGCGUCAGUAGCGGCGAGCGAAAGCGCAAGAGGGCAAACCCAGUGCUUGCACUGGGGGUUGUAGGACUGCAAUGUGCAAGAGGUAAGUUUAGCAGAACAUUCUGGAAAGUAUAACCAUAGAGGGUGAUAGUCCCGUAUGCGAAAAACAAACCUUAGCUAGCAGUAUCCUGAGUAGGGCGGGACACGAGGAAUCCUGUCUGAAUCCGGGUCGACCACGAUCCAACCCUAAAUACUAAUACCAGAUCGAUAGUGCACAAGUACCGUGAGGGAAAGGUGAAAAGAACUGAGGUGAUCAGAGUGAAAUAGAACCUGAAACCAUUUGCUUACAAUCAUUCAGAGCACUAUGUAGCAAUACAGUGUGAUGGACUGCCUUUUGCAUAAUGAGCCUGCGAGUUGUGGUGUCUGGCAAGGUUAAGCAAACGCGAAGCCGUAGCGAAAGCGAGUCUGAAUAGGGCGCUUAGUCAGAUGCUGCAGACCCGAAACGAAGUGAUCUAUCCAUGAGCAAGUUGAAGCUAGUGUAAGAACUAGUGGAGGACUGAACCCAUAGGCGUUGAAAAGCCCCGGGAUGACUUGUGGAUAGGGGUGAAAGGCCAAUCAAACUUCGUGAUAGCUGGUUCUCUCCGAAAUAUAUUUAGGUAUAGCGUUGUGUCGUAAUAUAAGGGGGUAGAGCACUGAAUGGGCUAGGGCAUACACCAAUGUACCAAACCCUAUCAAACUCCGAAUACCUUAUAUGUAAUCACAGCAGUCAGGCGGCGAGUGAUAAAAUCCGUCGUCAAGAGGGAAACAACCCAGACUACCAGCUAAGGUCCCUAAAUCUUACUUAAGUGGAAAACGAUGUGAAGUUACUUAAACAACCAGGAGGUUGGCUUAGAAGCAGCCAUCCUUUAAAGAAAGCGUAAUAGCUCACUGGUCUAGUGAUUUUGCGCGGAAAAUAUAACGGGGCUAAAGUAAGUACCGAAGCUGUAGACUUGCACACAACUUAGAUUAUUUAAGUUUAGAAUAUGAGAAACUAAGUUAUAUGUUUAGUUAUAUUUUUACUGAUUUUUAUAGAGUAAAGAUAGAAAUAAAACUUAGUAAAAUCAGUAAAAAUAUUCUUAGACUAAAGUUAAGUAGUUUAAGUUGUGUGCAAGUGGUAGGAGAGCGUUCUAUUUGCGUCGAAGGUAUACCGGUAAGGAGUGCUGGAGCGAAUAGAAGUGAGCAUGCAGGCAUGAGUAGCGAUAAUUAAUGUGAGAAUCAUUAACGCCGUAAACCCAAGGUUUCCUACGCGAUGCUCGUCAUCGUAGGGUUAGUCGGGUCCUAAGUCGAGUCCGAAAGGGGUAGACGAUGGCAAAUUGGUUAAUAUUCCAAUACCAACAUUAGUGUGCGAUGGAAGGACGCUUAGGGCUAAGGGGGCUAGCGGAUGGAAGUGCUAGUCUAAGGUCGUAGGAGGUUGUACAGGCAAAUCCGUAUAACAAUACUCCGAGAACUGAAAGGCUUUUUGAAGUCUUCGGAUGGAUAGAAGAACCCCUGAUGCCGUCGAGCCAAGAAAAGUUUCUAAGUUUAGCUAAUGUUGCCCGUACCGUAAACCGACACAGGUGGGUGGGAUGAGUAUUCUAAGGCGCGUGGAAGAACUCUCUUUAAGGAACUCUGCAAAAUAGCACCGUAUCUUCGGUAUAAGGUGUGGUUAGCUUUGUAUUAGGAUUUACUCCGAAAGCAAGGAAACUUACAACAAAGAGUCCCUCCCGACUGUUUACCAAAAACACAGCACUCUGCUAACUCGUAAGAGGAUGUAUAGGGUGUGACGCCUGCCCGGUGCUCGAAGGUUAAUUGAUGGGGUUAGCAUUAGCGAAGCUCUUGAUCGAAGCCCGAGUAAACGGCGGCCGUAACUAUAACGGUCCUAAGGUAGCGAAAUUCCUUGUCGGUUAAAUACCGACCUGCAUGAAUGGCGUAACGAGAUGGGAGCUGUCUCAAAGAGGGAUCCAGUGAAAUUGUAGUGGAGGUGAAAAUUCCUCCUACCCGCGGCAAGACGGAAAGACCCCGUGGACCUUUACUACAGCUUGACACUGCUACUUGGAUAAGAAUGUGCAGGAUAGGUGGGAGGCUUUGAGUAUAUGACGCCAGUUGUAUAUGAGCCAUUGUUGAGAUACCACUCUUUCUUAUUUGGGUAGCUAACCAGCUUGAGUUAUCCUCAAGUGGGACAAUGUCUGGUGGGUAGUUUGACUGGGGCGGUCGCCUCCCAAAUAAUAACGGAGGCUUACAAAGGUUGGCUCAGAACGGUUGGAAAUCGUUCGUAGAGUAUAAAGGUAUAAGCCAGCUUAACUGCAAGACAUACAAGUCAAGCAGAGACGAAAGUCGGUCUUAGUGAUCCGGUGGUUCUGUGUGGAAGGGCCAUCGCUCAAAGGAUAAAAGGUACCCCGGGGAUAACAGGCUGAUCUCCCCCAAGAGCUCACAUCGACGGGGAGGUUUGGCACCUCGAUGUCGGCUCAUCGCAUCCUGGGGCUGGAGCAGGUCCCAAGGGUAUGGCUGUUCGCCAUUUAAAGCGGUACGCGAGCUGGGUUCAGAACGUCGUGAGACAGUUCGGUCCCUAUCUGCCGUGGGCGUAAGAAGAUUGAAGAGAUUUGACCCUAGUACGAGAGGACCGGGUUGAACAAACCACUGGUGUAGCUGUUGUUCUGCCAAGAGCAUCGCAGCGUAGCUAAGUUUGGAAAGGAUAAACGCUGAAAGCAUCUAAGCGUGAAGCCAACUCUAAGAUGAAUCUUCUCUAAGCUCUCUAGAAGACUACUAGUUUGAUAGGCUGGGUGUGUAAUGGAUGAAAGUCCUUUAGCUGACCAGUACUAAUAGAGCGUUUGGCUUAUCUUUAAUAAAGCAU
Molecule: ribosomal RNA, 3071 nt
Filed under: Campylobacter jejuni
Lineage: Bacteria; Pseudomonadati; Campylobacterota; Epsilonproteobacteria; Campylobacterales; Campylobacteraceae
Description: 23S ribosomal RNA
Rfam family: Bacterial large subunit ribosomal RNA
Source: RNAcentral